Molecule: unclassified non-coding RNA, 21 nt
Filed under: Chlamydomonas reinhardtii
Lineage: Eukaryota; Viridiplantae; Chlorophyta; Chlorophyceae; Chlamydomonadales; Chlamydomonadaceae
Description: small RNA Cre_0453
Source: RNAcentral
AGCAGACCCGGGACGCAGUGC